RNAcentral lists this ribosomal RNA (297 nucleotides) under uncultured Synechococcus sp. Its description in RNAcentral is "partial 16S ribosomal RNA". It matches the Rfam family "Bacterial small subunit ribosomal RNA", at positions 1239 to 1533 of the family's 1533-position model. The record is from RNAcentral. Lineage: Bacteria; Bacillati; Cyanobacteriota; Cyanophyceae; Synechococcales; Synechococcaceae.
ACAAAGGGCAGCAAGUUCGCGAGGACAAGCAAAUCCCAUAAACCGUGGCUCAGUUCAGAUCGUAGGCUGCAACUCGCCUACGUGAAGGAGGAAUCGCUAGUAAUCGCAGGUCAGCAUACUGCGGUGAAUACGUUCCCGGGCCUUGUACACACCGCCCGUCACACCAUGGAAGUUGGCCACACCCGAAGCCGUUACUCCAACCCUUGUGGAGGAGGACGUCGAAGGUGGGGCUGAUGACUGGGGUGAAGUCGUAACAAGGUAGCCGUACCGGAAGGUGCGGCUGGAUCACCUCCUAAC